UACGGGGGGGGCAAGCGUUGUUCGGAAUUACUGGGCGGAAAGGGCUCGUAGGCGGCCAACUAAGUCGGAUGUGAAAUCUCCGAGCUUAACUCGGAAAGGUCAACUGAUACUGUGCGGCUAGAGUGCAGAAGGGGCAACUGGAAUUCUUGGUGUAGCGGUGAAAUGCGUAGAUAUCAAGAGGAACACCUGCGGCGAAGGCGGGUUGCUGGGCUGACACUGACGCUGAGGCGCGAAAGCUAGGGGAGCGAACAGG
Molecule: ribosomal RNA, 253 nt
Filed under: uncultured bacterium
Lineage: Bacteria
Description: partial 16S ribosomal RNA
Rfam family: Bacterial small subunit ribosomal RNA
Source: RNAcentral